This 376-nucleotide ribosomal RNA is filed under the name uncultured bacterium. RNAcentral's name for it is "bacterial SSU rRNA". It matches the Rfam family "Bacterial small subunit ribosomal RNA", at positions 524 to 898 of the family's 1533-position model. The record is from RNAcentral.
AACGGGGGGUGCAAGCGUUGUCCGGAAUUACUGGGCGUAAAGGGCGUGUAGGCGGCACAUCAAGUCAGAUGUGAAAUCCCUCGGCUUAACUGGGGAAUUGCAUUUGAAACUGGUGAGCUUGAGUACGGUAGAGGGAAGGGGAAUUCCCGGUGUAGAGGUGAAAUUCGUAGAUAUCGGGAGGAAUACCAGUGGCGAAGGCGCCUUCCUGGACCAGUACUGACGCUGAGACGCGAAAGCGUGGGGAGCAAACAGGAUUAGAUACCCUGGUAGUCCACGCUGUAAACGAUGAACACUAGAUGUCGCGGGUAUCGACCCCUGCGGUGUCGCAGUUAACACGAUAAGUGUUCCGCCUGGGGAGUACGGUCGCAAGAUUAAA